CAACUCUGCUAAGUCCUCGCACAGACGGGGAGAUUCUUCUUCUUCUUCUUCUUGUACUUGCAGCUAGCGAAGGAAAGCGUAUCCCUCUUGACCCCUAUUUCUCUUGCCUUUCCCUUCCUGGGCUUCAAAUCCCCUGCAACGCGAUCCACCCAGCUCGCCAGAUAUUGAUGAGCCCGUGUUCACCGGAAAAUGACGUCAGACCGACUUCGACGUCAGCGGCUCCGAGGAGGAAACCUUCGUGGAGAGAGCGAGAGAAUAAUAGAAGGAGAGAGAGGAGGAGAAGAGCCAUAGCUGCUAAGAUUUUUUCAGGGUUAAGAGCUCAAGGGAAUUACAAUUUGCCCAAACACUACGAUAAUAAUGAGGUCUUGAAGGCUUUGUGCAUCGAGGCUGGUUGGGUCGUUGAAGAUGAUGGCACCACCUACCGAAAGGGAUGCAAGCCACCCCCAAUUGAUAUUGUAGGCACCUCUGCGAGAAUUCCUCCGUACUCUUCACAAAAUCCAAGUCCAUUAUCUUCAUCAUUCCCUAGUCCAAUUCCUUCCUACCAAGUUAGUCCCUCUUCCUCUUCGUUCCCUAGCCCGUCUCGAGUUGAGAAUAAUGCUUCAUCUAAUCUCCUUCCCUUCCUCCAAAAUGCGAUUCCCUCGUCUCUCCCUUCUCUCCGAAUCUCCAACAGUGCACCUGUA
This 680-nucleotide unclassified non-coding RNA is filed under the name Hevea brasiliensis (rubber tree). Lineage: Eukaryota; Viridiplantae; Streptophyta; Magnoliopsida; Malpighiales; Euphorbiaceae. The record is from RNAcentral.